Molecule: ribosomal RNA, 492 nt
Filed under: uncultured bacterium
Lineage: Bacteria
Description: partial 16S ribosomal RNA
Rfam family: Bacterial small subunit ribosomal RNA
Source: RNAcentral
AGUGAACGCUGGCGGUAGGCCUAACACAUGCAAGUCGAACGGCAGCACAGUAAGAGCUUGCUCUUACGGGUGGCGAGUGGCGGACGGGUGAGGAAUACAUCGGAAUCUACUUUUUCGUGGGGGAUAACGUAGGUAAACUUACGCUAAUACCGCAUACGACCUACGGGUGAAAGCAUGGGAUCUUCGGACCUUUCGCGAUUGAAUGAGCCGAUGUCGGAUUAGCUAGUUGGCGGGGUAAAGGCCCACCAAGGCGACGACCCGUAGCUGGUCUGAGAGGAUGAUCAGACACACUAGAACUGAGACACGGUCCAGACUCCUACGGGAGGCAGCAGUGGGGAAUAUUGGACAAUGGGCGCAAGCCUGAUCCAGCCAUACCGCGUGGGUGAAGAAGGCCUUCGGGUUGUAAAGCCCUUUUGUUGGGAAAGAAAAGCAGCAGGUUAAUACCCCGCUGUUCUGACGGUACCCAAAGAAUAAGCACCGGCUAACUUCGUG